CCCUAUCUUUAGUUGCCAUCACUUCGGGUGGGCACUCUGAAGAGACUGCCAGCGACAAGCCGGAGGAAGGUGGGGACGACGUCAAGUCAUCAUGGCCCUUACGUCUUGGGCUACACACGUGCUACAAUGGCUAGUACAAUGGGUCGCAAACUCGCGAGGGUGAGCCAAUCCCAUCAAAGCUAGUCUCAGUUCAGAUUGCAGGCUGCAACUCGCCUGCAUGAAGUUGGAAUCGCUAGUAAUCGUGGAUCAGCAUUGCCACGGUGAAUACNUUCCCGGGCCUUGNACACA
This 288-nucleotide ribosomal RNA is filed under the name uncultured bacterium. RNAcentral describes it as "partial 16S ribosomal RNA". It matches the Rfam family "Bacterial small subunit ribosomal RNA", at positions 1103 to 1389 of the family's 1533-position model. The record is from RNAcentral.